Molecule: transfer RNA, 84 nt
Filed under: Lactobacillus rodentium
Lineage: Bacteria; Bacillati; Bacillota; Bacilli; Lactobacillales; Lactobacillaceae
Description: tRNA-Leu
Rfam family: tRNA
About the family: Transfer RNA (tRNA) molecules are approximately 80 nucleotides in length.
Source: RNAcentral
GCCCUGAUGGCGGAAUUGGCAGACGCGCAGCGUUCAGGUCGCUGUUUUCUUACGAAAGUGCAAGUUCGAAUCUUGUUCAGGGCA